CAAGGCCAGACAUAUCUUCACAUGUUUGCAGUUUGUAGUAGUACAGAUCUGCAGAUACCGUGGGCCUACACGGCAAUGAGUUAUCCUAGGCUGUCCUUGGUAGUCGUCACAGUCCCAGCCCUGGGAUCUGGCCACAGCCUUGGAAAAGUGAACUACCGUUUGAGUAUCCAUCAUAACUUGUUUAUUUGUUCAAUUCGGCUCUCUAUACCAUAUGCUGCUAAGGGCCCGAUAUCACUAUAUCAGACAAGAAAAUAUCUAACAUGGAAAGGAACUUUGCAACGUCUUGGCGCUCAUGGCCAUCCACGUACCACUCAAAGUCAGACAAGCAGCAUCAACUCUGGAUAACUUCGACAACAAUCUACUGGCUCUUGUUGCACCCUGAGACCAGAUAUUCGAUAGUUCCUUUCAAGAACGACUAGAUACGCAUGGACAACUUGCUCAUAAAAGCUCUCCUAUGUUGUUAAGGCCUGAUUCUACAGUUGCUGGGAGAGAAUCAAGUAGUAGUGAGGAUCCUAAAUAAGGAGCAGCAGCGUCCAAAUAAUGCAAAGCGACUGUCGCACUCGCGUCCAAGGCCCGACAGGCUACCUGCCGCUGAUCCUUUCCCUCGCUGUCGAGAGCUGCGGCCAAUCUCUUAAUGAGUAUUCCUGUGUAUGUGUGUAGGUGCGCGCUUGGUGGCCAGCACAAACAACAUCAAACUGGCUGGAUCACAUGGACCACACCGUGGCGUCCAGUCCAGUUGUUCGCGUACGUACGUGCAGCUUUCGUCCUCGGAUGCGCUCGAGGGAUCUGGACAUAGAUUAUUGGUGGCUUCUCGCCACGCCAUGAGUGAGUACUUUGGACCUUUCCUGGCCUAGUUUUGUAAUAGAUCUGUUGGAGUGGAUUGUAAAGUGAUUUGAUGAAGUGAUGCGUGGGGGUGGUUACCGGCAUCUCAACUGUGAGGGUCGUCAUGUGUACUGGGCUAUGGUUCCCUUAAUCCCUUUUUACUCUGUUAUAAUGAAUG
Molecule: long non-coding RNA, 1000 nt
Organism: Lolium rigidum
Lineage: Eukaryota; Viridiplantae; Streptophyta; Magnoliopsida; Poales; Poaceae
Exons: 3
Source: RefSeq, a predicted model, not a curated record